Rhagoletis zephyria (snowberry fruit fly) is the source of this 144-nucleotide long non-coding RNA. RefSeq lists it as uncharacterized. Lineage: Eukaryota; Metazoa; Arthropoda; Insecta; Diptera; Tephritidae. The record is from RefSeq and is a predicted model, not a curated record.
UAACCGACUCCAAUCGGGACCAAAAUUUAUAUGUGAUAUCUGUGACCCUGGUAUUGCCGAUUGAGAGGGUGAGACUGAAACAAAUGGUUCAUUUGAUUUUUAAGCACCACCCUAGUGUACAUAUAAAUAGAAAAUUUGUUUUGA